RNAcentral lists this ribosomal RNA (494 nucleotides) under uncultured bacterium. RNAcentral describes it as "partial 16S ribosomal RNA". It matches the Rfam family "Bacterial small subunit ribosomal RNA", at positions 28 to 507 of the family's 1533-position model. The record is from RNAcentral.
GACGAACGCUGGCGGCGCGCUUAACACAUGCAAGUCGAACGGAAAGGCCUGCUUUCCCUUGUGGAUUGCGGGUACUCGAGUGGCGAACGGGUGAGUAACACGUGAGUGAUCUGCCCCCAACUUGGGUAUAAGCCUGGGAAACUGGGUCUAAUUCCCGAUAGGACUGCAGGGUGGUGCCUGUGGUGGAAAACGAUUUUCUAGUGGUUGGGGAUGAGCUCGCGGCCUAUCAGCUUGUUGGUGGGGUAAUGGCCUACCAAGGCGGCGACGGGUAGCCGGCCUGAGAGGGUGGACGGCCACAUUGGGACUGAGAUACGGCCCAGACUCCUACGGGAGGCAGCAGUGGGGAAUAUUGCACAAUGGGCGGAAGCCUGAUGCAGCGACGCCGCGUGGGGGAUGACGGCCUUCGGGUUGUAAACUACUUUCGACAGCGAGGAAGCCACCUGGUUGGAAGGGUGGUGACGGUAGUGGUAGAAGAAGCACCGGCUAACUACGUG